AUGAUGCGCGACCUGCCAAGUGGGUCGCGCCAAAUGGUAGCGUAAGCUUCUACUCUGGGAUGGGCCCGCGCCGGAUUAGCUUGUUGGUGAGGUAACGGCUCACCAAGGCGACGAUCCGUAGCUGGUCUGAGAGGACGAUCAGCCACACUGGGACUGAGACACGGCCCAGACUCCUACGGGAGGCAGCAGUGGGGAAUCUUGCGCAAUGGGCGAAAGCCUGACGCAGCAACGCCGCGUGAGCGAAGACGGCCUUCGGGUUGUAAAGCUCUGUCAGGAGGGACGAAGCCACUCAGGUUAAUAGCCGAGAGGGUGACGGUACCUCCAGAGGAAGCCCCGGCUAACUACGUGCCAGCAGCCGCGGUAAUACGUAGGGGGCAAGCGUUGUCCGGAAUCAUUGGGCGUAAAGAGCGUGUAGGCGGCCAUCCAAGUCCGAUGUGAAAGCUCGGGGCUCAACCCCGAGUCUGCAUUGGAAACUGGGUGGCUAGAGUCCGGAAGA
Molecule: ribosomal RNA, 496 nt
Filed under: uncultured bacterium
Lineage: Bacteria
Description: bacterial SSU rRNA
Rfam family: Bacterial small subunit ribosomal RNA
Source: RNAcentral